UAAUCUCGGGAAACUGAGGAUAAUUCUCCAUAGACCAUGAGAUCUGGAAUGACUUAUGGUUCAAAGUUCCGGCGCUUUAGGAUCGGUCUGCGGCCUAUCAGGUAGUAGUGGGUGUAACGUACCCCCUAGCCAAUUACGGGUAUGGGCCUUGAGAGAGGGAGCCCAGAGUUGGAUUCUGAGACACGAAUCCAGGCCCUACGGGGCGCAGCAGUCGCGAAAACUUCACAAUGGGCGAAAGCCCGAUGAGGGAAUUCCUAGUGCUAGCACAUUUGUGUUAGCUUUUCCUUAGCGUAGAUAACUAGGGGAAUAAGGGCUGGGUAAGACGGGUGCCAGCCGCCGCGGUAAUACCCGCAGCCCGAGUGGUGGUCGAUUUUAUUGAGUCUAAAACGUUCGUAGCCGGUCUGAUAAAUCCCUGGGUAAAUCGGGUGGCUUAACCAUCCGAAUUCCGGGGAGACUGUCAGGCUUGGGAUCGGGAG
RNAcentral lists this ribosomal RNA (476 nucleotides) under uncultured rumen archaeon. RNAcentral's name for it is "bacterial SSU rRNA". It matches the Rfam family "Archaeal small subunit ribosomal RNA", at positions 127 to 605 of the family's 1478-position model. The record is from RNAcentral.